This is a long non-coding RNA of Homo sapiens (human), 717 nucleotides long. NCBI's taxonomy places the organism in Eukaryota, Metazoa, Chordata, Mammalia, Primates, Hominidae. The record is from Ensembl.
GGAGAAUUGGCUGAACCUGGGAGGCGGAGGUUGCAGUGAGCCGAGAUUGCGCCACUGCACUCCAGCCUGGGAGAUGGAGCGAGACUCCAUCUCAAAAAGAAAGGAAGGAGGGAAGGAAGGAAGGAAGGAAGGAAGGAAGGAAGGAAGGAAGGAAGGAAGGAAGGAAGGAAGGAAGGAAGGAAGGAAGGAAGGAAGGAAGGAAGGAAGGAAGGGAAAUAAACUUGCAUGCGGUUAAGGCACUGGAUUGUGAGGGCUAUUUGUUACUGCAAAGUAAUACAACCUAUCCUGAUUCAAGAAUGCAGCAGAAUGGAGUGGAGUGGAUUAGAAAGCAUUCAUCACACAUAGUGAGGCUCAGCCCAGGGCAGCGCACAGUGCAUCGACCACCCUUUCCUGGUUCCACAGACGCUGGGCAUAGAGCCAGUCCUCUAAGCUUUGGCCUCCACCAAGAGUUCAGGCUUUUCCAGCACAAAAGCCAGAGACUAGCAGGUUAGUUUUGGUUGCCACCCUGCAGAAUUAAGCACAGUACUAAAGUGGGAGUUCGCUUGCUUUCUCUCUCUCUCUCUCUCCUCCCCUCCUUAAUUUUGAGAAGUAAGGUGGAGGAGGGAAGAGAAAUAAAGAGAGAACCAAUGGCUAAUAGCUUAUAAAUAUUAUCCUGCCACAUGUGCAGAAUGCUAUGGAAAGGUUCAGAAGGAAUGAGCACAUCCCAUAGAAAAAUCA